AACGGCUGCCAGGGCGCAGUGCAUUGUGGGGCGAGGAGCAGAGCUUGGAGGUGCUGGUGGAGAGGCGCCUGCAUGGGGUGAGGCCCGGGUCCUGCCACCCAGAGGAAACCUGAGCCGCAGCAGCUCUGGCUCCCUCUCUGCUGCCCCUCCCCACUGCUUUCCAAGGGCAGGUGCUGAGGCCAGUGGCCUGGUGGGUGACCGCCCUCCAGGUCCUAGGAGGAAAUUGUCCCCAGGGUGUUUGCUGGCUUGCAGUUAACAGGAGGCCUCUUCAGAGGAGAAACUUCUCCAUUUCACAUCAGCGUCUCUGGGAAAAUUCCACUCCAAGAUUCUGUGUGGACUCUCAUCCAAACACAUGGCAGGUGAUCGUCUAAACCACCCAGGGAAGGUGCCAGAGGUGACUGGUCCGCAAGCCGGCCUGCCUCUGUUAAUUAAAGUCUACAAACCUUCAAGCCCAUCGCCCUUCCUUGGCUGUCUGCGUGACCACAACCCCUACGCUCUUCCAAGCAACAUUUGCUCCAACUUAAUAUUCUGGUGCUUUCGGGAACAUUUAAAAAUAAACCAUUUUGGCACAUUGUC
This 576-nucleotide long non-coding RNA is filed under the name Ictidomys tridecemlineatus (thirteen-lined ground squirrel). RNAcentral describes it as "lncRNA (ENSSTOG00000032854.1)". The record is from RNAcentral. Lineage: Eukaryota; Metazoa; Chordata; Mammalia; Rodentia; Sciuridae.